AGUCGAGCGCGGGAAGCAAGCAGAACUCCUUCGGGAGUGACGCUUGUGGAACGAGCGGCGGACGGGUGAGUAACACGUGGGCAACCUACCUGUAAGACUGGGAUAACUCCGGGAAACCGGGGCUAAUACCGGAUGAUACAUAUCGUCGCAUGACGAGAUGUUGAAAGGCGGCAUAUGCUGUCACUUACAGAUGGGCCUGCGGCGCAUUAGCUAGUUGGUGAGAUAAAAGCUCACCAAGGCGACGAUGCGUAGCCGACCUGAGAGGGUGAUCGGCCACACUGGGACUGAGACACGGCCCAGACUCCUACGGGAGGCAGCAGUAGGGAAUCUUCCGCAAUGGACGAAAGUCUGACGGAGCAACGCCGCGUGAGUGAUGAAGGUUUUCGGAUCGUAAAACUCUGUUGUUAGGGAAGAACAAGUGCCAUUCGAAUAGGUUGGCACCUUGACGGUACCUAACCAGAAAGCCCCGGCUAACUACGUGCCAGCAGCCGCGGUAAUACGUAGGGGGCAAGCGUUGUCCGGAAUUAUUGGGCGUAAAGCGCGCGCAGGCGGUCCUUUAAGUCUGAUGUGAAAGCCCACGGCUUAACCGUGGAGGGCCAUUGGA
Molecule: ribosomal RNA, 604 nt
Filed under: Virgibacillus dokdonensis
Lineage: Bacteria; Bacillati; Bacillota; Bacilli; Caryophanales; Bacillaceae
Description: bacterial SSU rRNA
Rfam family: Bacterial small subunit ribosomal RNA
Source: RNAcentral